GGGCGUAAAGCGCGCGUAGGUGGCCAAUUAAGUCAAAUGUGAAAUCCCCGAGCUUAACUUGGGAAUUGCAUUCGAUACUGGUUGGCUAGAGUAUGGGAGAGGAUGGUAGAAUUCCAGGUGUAGCGGUGAAAUGCGUAGAGAUCUGGAGGAAUACCGAUGGCGAAGGCAGCCAUCUGGCCUAAUACUGACACUGAGGUGCGAAAGCAUGGGGAGCAAACAGGAUUAGAUACCCUGGUAGUCCAUGCCGUAAACGAUGUCUACUAGCCGUUGGGGCCUUUGAGGCUUUAGUGGCGCAGCUAACGCGAUAAGUAGACCGCCUGGGGAGUACGGUCGCAAGACUAAAACUCAAAUGAAUUGACGGGGGCCCGCACAAGCGGUGGAGCAUGUGGUUUAAUUCGAUGCAACGCGAAGAACCUUACCUGGUCUUGACAUAGUAAGAACUUUCCAGAGAUGGAUUGGUGCCUUCGGGAACUUACAUACAGGUGCUGCAUGGCUGUCGUCAGCUCGUGUCGUGAGAUGUUGGGUUAAGUCCCGCAACGAGCGCAACCCUUUUCCUUAUUUGCCAGCGGGUUAAGCCGGGAACUUUAAGGAUACUGCCAGUGACAAACUGGAGGAAGGCGGGGUCGACGUCAAGUCAUCAUGGCCCUUACGACCAGGGCUACACACGUGCUACAAUGGUCGGUACAAAGGGUUGCUACCUAGCGAUAGGAUGCUAAUCUCAAAAAGCCGAUCGUAGUCCGGAUUGGAGUCUGCAACUCGACUCCANGAAGUCGGAAUCGCUAGUA
Molecule: ribosomal RNA, 785 nt
Filed under: swine manure pit bacterium BFT3
Lineage: Bacteria
Description: bacterial SSU rRNA
Rfam family: Bacterial small subunit ribosomal RNA
Source: RNAcentral